AAACUACUUCCUCUGUCUUAAAAAUUUUGUCUUAAAUUCGUUUAAAUACAGAUGUACCUAAUACUAGAACGUGACUUAAUACAUUCGUAUUUAAACAAAUUUAAGACAAAAAUUUUGGAACGAAGGGAGUAGUUU
Triticum aestivum (bread wheat) is the source of this 135-nucleotide non-coding RNA. The record is from Rfam. NCBI's taxonomy places the organism in Eukaryota, Viridiplantae, Streptophyta, Magnoliopsida, Poales, Poaceae.